RNAcentral lists this long non-coding RNA (1826 nucleotides) under Mus musculus (house mouse). Its description in RNAcentral is "long non-coding RNA chr5:122659739-122661565". Lineage: Eukaryota; Metazoa; Chordata; Mammalia; Rodentia; Muridae. The record is from RNAcentral.
UUGUGACCACCCGGUUGGUUAUCUCUGGCACAUGUUCUGAUGCAGCCAUGGAAACAGGGAGGGAGUUAGCUCGACUCCUGCUGGUCUCAAGUCUGAGAUUUCCAGGGUUUGAGCAUGCUCCACCUCACCAACUCUACGCCAGUUCCUCUGGUGGCACGGUUCAUAUGCCCCGCAGAGCCCUUAACAUGUUAUGGUAAUCCUGACCCAGGAGUACCUUUGGGUGACCCUCGGCCAUCAUGGCUGCCCUGAGAGCCUUCCCAAGAGCCAGAGCAGGGUUGGUUGUUUGUUCUGAUGCAUAGGCGUUCAUAUAAAUGACAGAAGAUAUGAGGAGGGCGAGCUAGACAGGGCUCUCAGUGAGUCCAGUGCUGUCCAGCAAGCCUGAUGGCUGUAGUCCCAGCGGAGGAGGCAGUGUGAGGAGUGUCCAUGGGCUGCUGGACAGCUACUCUAGCCAAUCAGUGAGCUCCAGGUUCAGUGAGAGACACUGCGUCAAAAAAUAAGGUGGAGAGUGACUGAGGAAGACACCAGUCUCUAGCUUCCACACACCUGAGGAUUCUAAGACCCGCGUACCUGUAUACACAUGAACAACACACACACACACACACACACACACACACUCCUCCUAGAAGAGUAGCGGUUCUAGACAGCUCUGUCCAACAGAACUUUCUUCAGUGAUGGGAACGUUUGGUACCCAGGUGGUGUCCAAUAUGGUAGCCACCUAUGGUGAUUGAACACAUGAAAUCAGGAAUGGUAUUUUAAUUGAAAGUACACUUAACUUUUAAUUUUUUAUAUUUAUACUUAUUUACAUUUGUUUGUUUGUAUAUGUGCCAUGCUAUGCAUCUGGACCUCAUGAGGUAACUUGAAGAAAUAGAUUCUUUCUUUCCACCAUGCGGGUCCCAGAAGUGAACUCGGGCCAUCAGACUUAGGGGUAAGCACCUUUACCCACUGAGCUGUCUCACUGGCCCUAAUUUUAAUCCCAUAGCCACUUGUGCUUUAAGGCUCCCCCGACGUUCCAGGACUCAGGACCACUUUAUAUGUGGGACAAAGUGAUUCCCCAGCGGACAUAUAGGUGGUCCAGGCCCAGAUCCACCCCAGCAUCCAGUGCCAGGGUGCAGGCAGUAGGCUGUACCAACCCCCUCAGGCCUUCGGUUACCAUUCCAGUUUCAUUUCUAGGUUAGGAAAGUUUCUUUGUGCAGAGGGUACUGCGGGGUAGGUGGGAUCCUAGCCUAUACACAGGACUGCUUGGCUCCUCCCAGAAGACUCUAUGGUUGUAACUUUCAGCUUUGCCACCAAUUCAUUCAUCAGACAAGCCCUGUGCAUCUCCACACGCCUGUCCCAGGGCUACGUUCUUCAUUCCUUUUGUUGUUACUGUAGUUGUCUUUGAGAUCGGGUCUCACUAUGUAGCCUUGGCUGGCCUAGAACUCACUCUGUAGACCAGGCUGGCUUCAAACUCACAGAGAGACUCUGCCUCCCUCAGUACUGAGAUUAAAGACCUGUACCACAAUACCCGCUGAGGGUUGUUUGUUUGUUUGUUUGUUUGUUUAUUCUUAUUACUUUUUGAGACGAGGUCUUACUGUGGAGUUGAAGCUGGCUGCAUUUUGUAAUCCUCCUGCCUCAGUCUCCUGAGUUUUGGGGAUUACAGGCAUAAACCACUAAACCAGCUUCCUGGGUAGCAUUUUGAUAGGACUUUAGGCAAGCAGUCUCCUCACAUGGUAUGUGAACCAGGUACGAUGGUUCAGGUAACUCUCCGCUCAUUCAGGAUAGCUAUCAAGGAGUUGACUUUCUUCAGUUACUUCUCCUGCAUGUCACCUCAUAUAAAAUGAAAAUCU